RNAcentral lists this ribosomal RNA (291 nucleotides) under uncultured prokaryote. Its description in RNAcentral is "partial 16S ribosomal RNA". It matches the Rfam family "Bacterial small subunit ribosomal RNA", at positions 505 to 796 of the family's 1533-position model. The record is from RNAcentral.
GUGCCAGCAGCCGCGGUAAUACGUAGGGGGCAAGCGUUGUCCGGAAUCACUGGGCGUAAAGGGUUCGCAGGCGGAAAUGCAAGUCAGUUGUGAAAGGCAGAGGCCCAACCUCUGUAAGCAAUUGAAACUGUAUUUCUUGAGAUGUGGAGAGGCAAGUGGAAUUCCUAGUGUAGCGGUGAAAUGCGUAGAUAUUAGGAAGAAUACCGGUGGCGAAGGCGACUUGCUGGACACAAACUGACGCUGAGGAACGAAAGCGUGGGUAGCAAACAGGAUUAGAUACCCCCGUAGUCC